RNAcentral lists this unclassified non-coding RNA (253 nucleotides) under uncultured Patescibacteria group bacterium. RNAcentral describes it as "contains 16S-23S intergenic spacer region". It matches the Rfam family "Bacterial small subunit ribosomal RNA", at positions 524 to 776 of the family's 1533-position model. The record is from RNAcentral.
UACGUAGGGUGCAAGCGUUAUCCGGAUUUAUUGGGCGUAAAGAGUUCGUAGGCUUCUUGGUAAGUUGUCUUUCAAAGUCCGAGGCUCAACUUCGGAAAGGGAGGCAAUACUGCCAGGAUUGAAAGGUUUCGGGGCUACUGGAACUUAUCGUGUAGGAGUGAAAUCCGUUGAUAUGAUAAGGAACACCGAGGGCGAAGGCGGGUAGCUAGGAACCCUUUGACGCUGAGGAACGAAAGCCAGGGGAGCGAAACGG